GACGAACGCUGGCGGCGUGCUUAACACAUGCAAGUCGAGCGAGGCCCAAGCAGUGGCAACACUGUGGAAGGCCUAGCGGCGAACGGGUGAGUAACACGUGAGCAACCUGCCCCGAAGUCUGGAAUAACACCGGGAAACCGGUGCUAAUGCCGGAUCGCCCCCCACCGGGCCGCAUGACCUGGUGAGGAAAGGCCAUGCCUGAUAAGUAUGGGUGCUUCGGGGAGGGGCUCGCGGGCUAUCAGCUAGUUGGUGAGGUAACGGCUCACCAAGGCGUCGACGGCUAGCUGGUCUGAGAGGACGACCAGCCACAC
RNAcentral lists this ribosomal RNA (311 nucleotides) under uncultured bacterium. RNAcentral's name for it is "bacterial SSU rRNA". It matches the Rfam family "Bacterial small subunit ribosomal RNA", at positions 28 to 313 of the family's 1533-position model. The record is from RNAcentral.